Molecule: microRNA precursor, 138 nt
Filed under: Drosophila guanche
Lineage: Eukaryota; Metazoa; Arthropoda; Insecta; Diptera; Drosophilidae
Source: RNAcentral
GGCUGAUGAUGAUGACGAUGGUGGUGGUGGUGGUGGUGGUGGUGGUGGUGGUGGUGGUGGUGCCUCCACUGAUGUUGCCUCUGCUGCUGUGUGUCUAGUCGACCGUCGUCGUCGUCGUCGUCGUCAUCGUCAUCAUCA